Molecule: ribosomal RNA, 1976 nt
Filed under: Pogonus chalceus
Lineage: Eukaryota; Metazoa; Arthropoda; Insecta; Coleoptera; Carabidae
Description: SSU rRNA
Rfam family: Eukaryotic small subunit ribosomal RNA
Source: RNAcentral
GUGAAACCGCGAAAGGCUCAUUAAAUCAGUUAUGGUUCCUUAGAUCGUACCCACAUUUACUUGGAUAACUGUGGUAAUUCUAGAGCUAAUACAUGCAAACAGAGCUCCGACCGGAGACGGAAGGAGUGCUUUUAUUAGAUCAAAACCAAUCGGCGGGAAUAGCAUUUCGGUGUUAUUUUUCGUCGCACUGUUUGGUGACUCUGAAUAACUUUUGGCUGAUCGCACGGUCUUGCACCGGCGACGCAUCUUUCAAAUGUCUGCCUUAUCAACUGUCGAUGGUAGGUUCUGCGCCUACCAUGGUUGUAACGGGUAACGGGGAAUCAGGGUUCGAUUCCGGAGAGGGAGCCUGAGAAACGGCUACCACAUCCAAGGAAGGCAGCAGGCGCGCAAAUUACCCACUCCCGGCACGGGGAGGUAGUGACGAAAAAUAACGAUACGGGACUCAUCCGAGGCCCCGUAAUCGGAAUGAGUACACUUUAAAUCCUUUAACAAGGACCAAUUGGAGGGUAAGUCUGGUGCCAGCAGCCGCGGUAAUUCCAGCUCCAAUAGCGUAUAUUAAAGUUGUUGCGGUUAAAAAGCUCGUAGUUGAAUCUGUGUUCCGCGCUGUCGGUUCACCGCCCGCGGUGUUAACUGGCACGUCUCGCGGAACGUCCUGCCGGUGGAUGUGAGAAUUUUUGUAUACUUCCCCUAAUGUAUUAUGCGUGUGCAAAUUAUUGUUUUAUAUAGUUCUUGGUAUUUAUAAAUAAAUCCAUUGUGGUUUAUUUAUUAUGCUAUCCUAUAUUUUGACAUUUUUUGUUACUGUAUAGUGCUAUUAGGUUCAGGAGUUACAAAUCAAUCCAUAUCCGACUUAUAAAAUCCUGUCGCGGUGCUCUUAACUGAGUGUCGAGGCGGGCCGGCACGUUUACUUUGAACAAAUUAGAGUGCUCAAAGCAGGCUAAAAUUUCGCCUGAAUACUGUGUGCAUGGAAUAAUGGAACAGGACCUCGGUUCUAUUUUGUUGGUUUUCGGAACCCCGAGGUAAUGAUUAAUAGGGACAGAUGGGGGCAUUCGUAUUGCGACGUUAGAGGUGAAAUUCUUGGAUCGUCGCAAGACGGACAGAAGCGAAAGCAUUUGCCAAAAAUGUUUUCAUUAAUCAAGAACGAAAGUCAGAGGUUCGAAGGCGAUCAGAUACCGCCCUAGUUCUGACCAUAAACGAUGCCAGCUAGCGAUCCGCCGACGUUCCUCCGAUGACUCGGCGGGCAGCUUCCGGGAAACCAAAGCUUUUGGGUUCCGGGGGAAGUAUGGUUGCAAAGCUGAAACUUAAAGGAAUUGACGGAAGGGCACCACCAGGAGUGGAGCCUGCGGCUUAAUUUGACUCAACACGGGAAACCUCACCAGGCCCGGACACCGGAAGGAUUGACAGAUUGAGAGCUCUUUCUUGAUUCGGUGGGUGGUGGUGCAUGGCCGUUCUUAGUUGGUGGAGUGAUUUGUCUGGUUAAUUCCGAUAACGAACGAGACUCUAGCCUGCUAACUAGGCGUUACUUACCGGUAUCCUGAAGGCUCGUGUCUUUCGUUUCCUGGCAUGCAUUUUUGUGUGGUGUAUCAUUGUUUCGGCAGUGUGCAUUUGCACGGUGUAUGUUCAGUGCGAAAGUUCACGGUUUUUACUACCGGCGUACAUAUAAAUCUUCUUAGAGGGACAGGCGGCUCUUAGCCGCACGAGAUUGAGCAAUAACAGGUCAGUGAUGCCCUUAGAUGUUCUGGGCCGCACGCGCGCUACACUGAAGGAAUCAGCGUGUCUUCCCUGGCCGAACGGUCCGGGUAACCCGCUGAACCUCCUUCGUGCUAGGGAUUGGGGCUUGCAAUUUUUCCCCAUGAACGAGGAAUUCCCAGUAAGCGCGAGUCAUAAGCUCGCGUUGAUUAAGUCCCUGCCCUUUGUACACACCGCCCGUCGCUACUACCGAUUGAAUGAUUUAGUGAGGUCUUCGGACUGGUACGCGG